RNAcentral lists this ribosomal RNA (413 nucleotides) under uncultured Gammaproteobacteria bacterium. RNAcentral describes it as "bacterial SSU rRNA". It matches the Rfam family "Bacterial small subunit ribosomal RNA", at positions 370 to 779 of the family's 1533-position model. The record is from RNAcentral. Lineage: Bacteria; Pseudomonadati; Pseudomonadota; Gammaproteobacteria.
AAUGGACGCAAGUCUGACGGGGCGACGCCGCGUGAAGAAGAAGGCCUUCGGGUUGUAAAGUUCUGUCGAAUGGGAAGAAGGCUCGGAGUUAAUACUGCGUAGUUGACGUUACCAUUGGAGGAAGCCCUGGCUAACUCCGUGCCAGCAGCCGCGGUAAUACGGAGAGGGCAAGCGUUGUUCGGAAUCACUGGGCAUAAAGCGCACGCAGGCGGAUUGGAAAGUCGGUUGUGAAAGCCCGGGGCUCAACUCCGGAACUGCUUCCGAAACUACCCAGUCUGAGGAUGAGAGGGGAGAGUGGAACUUCUGGUGGAGCGGUGAAAUGCGUAGAGAUCAGAAGGAACACCGGUGGCGAAAGCGACUCUCUGGCUCAUUUCUGACGCUAAGGUGCGAAAGCUAGGGGAGCGAACGGGAUU